UACAGAGGUCUCAAGCGUUGUUCGGAUUCAUUGGGCGUAAAGGGUGCGUAGGCGGCGCAGCAAGUCAGGGGUGAAAUCCCGGGGCUCAACCCCGGAACUGCCCUUGAAACUGCAGUGCUAGAAUUCUGGAGAGGCGAGUGGAAUUCCGAGUGUAGAGGUGAAAUUCGUAGAUAUUCGGAAGAACACCAGUGGCGAAGGCGACUCGCUGGACAGACAUUGACGCUGAGGUGCGAAAGCGUGGGGAGCAAACAGG
Molecule: ribosomal RNA, 253 nt
Filed under: uncultured bacterium
Lineage: Bacteria
Description: partial 16S ribosomal RNA
Rfam family: Bacterial small subunit ribosomal RNA
Source: RNAcentral